RNAcentral lists this long non-coding RNA (2395 nucleotides) under Hordeum vulgare. Its description in RNAcentral is "long non-coding RNA (HVUL_LNC009194)". The stretch from base 993 to 1090 matches the Rfam family "Small nucleolar RNA snoR26". The record is from RNAcentral. Lineage: Eukaryota; Viridiplantae; Streptophyta; Magnoliopsida; Poales; Poaceae.
ACCACCCCGCGCUGCCCCUCCCAUUCCACGUCUCCCCUUCCUGUGCCCCCACCAUUGCGGCCUCCCUCCCACACCCUCGCCUCGCCACCCACCUGCAACCGCCAGCCUCCUCGCCGCCCCACCAAUGCCGGCCCCCUUUCCACCCCGACCCCCGCACUCCUCCUGCUCCGAGGACCAUGCUCUCCGUCGGGCCUGGUAAGUGAGCUUCCACCCACCGCGCCCCGCUGCCACCCGCCCCGCCCCUGCUUGCUCCCCACAUGCUGCCGGCCUCCGAUUCAGAUCCACCGAUGGUCCGGUCUUCGCCGUUGCCAGUCCUGACUCGCUCCUAGAGCUGCAUCACCUUCCCCUCCCUCCUAUAGCUGUAGCGCCUCCCCCUCCCUCGAGGAGCCGCCGCCACACCAUGCCCCUGUGCACCAGAUGCAGACGACACCUCACCCUCCAUCCCAAAUCUCCAUCGGACGGACAUCACUCCACCCGGAGGCAACAUACGCCGGUUCGUGCAGCCAUGGUGAGCCGUCCUCUCUCCCGGAACUCUCUGUUCUUCUUUCUUGCAGCCAUGGUGAGGUCAAGGUCGUGCAGCCAUGGACGAUUCUAUCAGAAGCAACAACCAACAUAGAUGGAAAAAAAGGAGGACCCAAGCUGGAUGACCUCGACCUUGACCAUGAGGUCCUCUCGAUAUGUGAUUCAGCUAGAUAUGCGCGCGUGUAUUAUUCACGGUUUAUCUUUGUGUAUGUGCGUGCGUGUACUUUCACUGCGAGUUUCAUGCUGCUUUGUUGUUCUGAUUGCUGAUUUUUAAUUGAGGCAGGGAGGCCACGGCUGGGACAGAGAUAGUUAGGUGUUGAUGCCGGCUGCUGCUUCUUCUUCUCCAGAUAUUGCAACCGCUCUUUGUGUUUCUGCUUCAAGAAAUAGAGGGAGAUUAGGAGAAGUGUAUAUCCUCUAUUGGUUUGUAGUUGCAAGAUUCUAGCUAUGCCGUUUUAAUUUGCUUGUUCUAGAGAGAAUCUGUGGUGUUACAUCAAAUUUUACAAAUCCUUGCACUUUCAGGAAUUUUGAUAGUGAAGAAAAACAUUGGGGACUAUGUAAUGUGAGUCUCUGAGAUGCUAUCAUCUUCUCCUUCUUUUGUUUAAGUUGGUUGUUUUGUAGUACUGACACGCAAAGUACUUUUCAGAGGUCAAAGAAGGUAAAAAAACUACAGAAGUUAAAUAUCACCCACAAGUAAUCGGAAUCGAUGCCUUUUUGCGAUUCUGAAUUUUGAUGCCUAUUAUUGUCUGCAGAGAAGAAGGCUUCCUCGAACGUUAAGAAAGUACAAUCGGGUAGCAAUGGAAGUGAUCCGUUCAAGAACAAGUGAGUUCUCUGAAUUAUUACAAUUGUGUGCAUGUGAUGAAGAGGUGAUGUAUAUGCUUCUCGCCCCUCGUUGGACUCCAAGUGGAAGGUGGAGAUGUAGUCAGCAGAAAAUUUCCCUCACACAAAAUUUCCGUCGAGGUGAUGUAUAUGCUUAUCGAACCAGUAGGACUCCUAGGCCCAACAAGUAGGUGUCUUCCACCCGUGUCAAGAAGACGUGGACCUUUACACACCACAAAUAACUUUGCUCCCAAAGAGUACAAAGAGGUUGUCAAUCUCUCCGGCCUUGUAGUUUGCAAAGGAUCAAAACACAAGCGGGAAGGUAAUACUGAUUGCAACGGAAAAGUAAAUAAAGCGGUAAAUGGUGGAGGUGUAAGUAAUGAUGGUGAUAUGGACCGGAGUCACAUGAUGUUCACGAGUGAUGUCUCUCUCCCAAAAGACGAUAAACAACUAUGCUAGGGUAAACAAAUCAUAGUUGGGAAAUUGACAGAAUUAUGAUUGCACCGCAAUGCUAAUUAUGCUCCUUGAUAGUUAGAGGUUCAAUAGUAAUGGGCAAUACGCCGAGACAAGUAGACCAUUUAUUCAUCAGCAUCUACUUACUAAUCAUCCACCUUGAGAUAUCUAUCCAGAACAUCUCUCCGAUAUUAAAUUGCGAGCCCAACCCAAAGUGCAAACUCAAAGAAACGGACAACUACAUUAACGAACUAUGCGUAAGGUAAACAAUCCUUGCAACCUUGGUCACAAGCAAUAUUGUUUUCUCCGCAGUGGCAACCAGCACAUCCCCUAGUCUCAUGAUUUUGUCAAUCAAGCUAGACAUCGAGGGGCCCGAAACCACGAUCAUGCCUAAUGCUCCCUCUUGGAGUUACGAUCUACUACUUGGCCAAAGCAAUAAAAAGCAAUGGAGAACAUGCAAGAAUCACUAAGGAACAUAAUAUAAAAGGAUAAUCAAAUAUAUAACUCAUAACAAUUUGAACAUAAUCUCAUAAUCCAUCGGAUCCCAACAAACCGAGCAUAGCAAUAGCAAGAGAAUUAUAUAGAUGCCUUGAUCAUGUAGGGC